Molecule: ribosomal RNA, 240 nt
Filed under: uncultured Lactobacillus sp.
Lineage: Bacteria; Bacillati; Bacillota; Bacilli; Lactobacillales; Lactobacillaceae
Description: partial 16S ribosomal RNA
Rfam family: Bacterial small subunit ribosomal RNA
Source: RNAcentral
GGUUAGCCCAACGAGAUCGGGAUAACACCUGGAAACAGAUGCUAAUACCGGAUAACAACAGAUGAUGCCUAUCAACUGUUUAAAAGAUGGUUCUGCUAUCACUCUUGGAUGGACCUGCGGUGCAUUAGCUAGUUGGUAGGGUAACGGCCUACCAAGGCGAUGAUGCAUAGCCGAGUUGAGAGACUGAUCGGCCACAUUGGAACUGAGACACGGCCCAAACUCCUACGGGAGGCAGCAGUC